GGCAGGAACCUUCCAGGCUCGCUCUCCAAAAAGCCUGGAGGAACAGACACAGGCUGCUUUUUUCAGAAGUUUAGCAAUCACAGGAAGAGUAGGAGAGAGAUAGGGGCCUUGCGUAAAAGAAAGCCCAGCCAAGGAAAAUGUAUUUUUAGAGGAGAAGGAGACUUCUGAGCCUGAUUGCAGCCUUGACAGGAGAGGACUAAGGGAGAAGGACAGAGGAAAGCUACGAGGGGAGGUGGCAGGUGGUGGGACGUCCCCGGGCCCCACCACAGGGCUGUCAUGUGUCCCAUCCUGAAGACAGACCCGACUUUUAAAGGCCAUGAGAUUCCGAAACAAGACUGUGUCUGCUGAGCCGACCUGCAGGCAGCCACCGGCUGGAGAAGGGGGCAUCUGAAACGUCAGACCGUCACUAUCCCGAAAGACAAAGACGAGAAGUUCAGCCACAGAUAAAAUCCGAGAUCCUUUCCGGACGGGUUGGUUAUCUAAUGUGAUACACGCAAGCAAAAGGUUUCUAACCAGCUCUUUCCCCCAAAUUUCGAACUCCUGCUAGAAGAAACAAAGCAAAGCAAAACACACAGCUCCCAGGGAAAGCUACAAUGAUAAUGCUGAGGCAGGGUAGGUGGCACCCUGGCCUCCCAGCUGGAGCUCACCGUUGGUCCCAGAAUCCUGUAGAGGCCACACCCUCCUUCCCUCAUCUGGAACAUCUGCAACUUGCUUGAAAUAAAUGGAUCUGGAUGCCCAGUGGCUGAACCAGGCCCUGGACCUCUGCCUGCCUCAUCUUCCUUCUGGAAAGCUCACUGGCAGACUCCGAGUGAAGCCCCUCCAAAGCAGUGCACAGUUAAGCUGCAAUCACCAGCUCCGGACACCAGGAGAUGCAGGAAGCUGGAUGAACUCCCAUUGCAUCUUUUAUUAACUAUCUUUUAUUUUUCAUACUAGUGAUCAAACCCAGAGCCUCCACCCUAGCCCUUUUCAGUUUUAGAUAAGCUGUCACUAAACUCUGCCUUACCCAAGCUGAACUCAAACUUGUGAUCCUCCUGUCUCAGCCUCCCACAGUGCCAGGACUUCAGGCAGCCUUUCUUAACCAUUUCAUGUCAUGGGAGUGUUUGGUACAACUCUCAAGUACAUCAUUUUUCCACGCUGGCUUCCACUUAAAACAAAAAAAAAAAAUUAACCGGUAUCCUAUUUGCCUCCAAACCAUUUCUCUUUUCAUUUAGAAAUUAGUUUCCUUAUCCCAGAAAAACAUUAUUCGGGCCUAAUGAGUUGUGUAUUUGCUUUUCCAAGCUCUGUUACAACUACCGUGACCAGGGAGUGAAUGGACCUUGGCAAUGGCCUGGCUGUGACGGCCCCUGACCUUCCCGCCUGCCCACCACCCUGGGCGACGACCAGCCAGCCCCACAUAACACUCUCCCCACCUCUUGCUUCCUU
Molecule: long non-coding RNA, 1422 nt
Organism: Cavia porcellus (domestic guinea pig)
Lineage: Eukaryota; Metazoa; Chordata; Mammalia; Rodentia; Caviidae
Exons: 3
Source: RefSeq, a predicted model, not a curated record